CCUACGGGAGGCUGCAGUGAGGAAUAUUGGUCAAUGGGCGCGAGCCUGAACCAGCCAAGUCGCGUGAGGGAAGAAGGUCCUAUGGAUUGUAAACCUCUUUUACAAGGGAGCAAAGAGCGGUACGUGUACCGCAUCGAAAGUACCCGAUGAAAAAGGAUCGGUUAACUCCGUGCCAGCAGCCGCGGUAAUACGGAGGAUGCGAGCGUUAUCCGGAUUUAUUGGGUGUAAAGGGUGCGCGGGCGGCGAUUUAAGUCAGCGGUAAAAUUUCGGGGCUAAACCCCGAUAAGCCGUUGAAAAUGGGGGGCUAGAGUGUGUGUGAGGCAUGCGGAAUGCGUGGUGUAGCGGUGAAAUGCAUAGAUAGCACGCAGAACGCCGAUUGCGAAGGCAGCAUACCGGGGCCUAACUGACGCUCAUGCACGAAAGCGUGGGUAUCGAACAGGAUUAGAUACCCUUGUAGUC
Molecule: ribosomal RNA, 459 nt
Filed under: uncultured bacterium
Lineage: Bacteria
Description: partial 16S ribosomal RNA
Rfam family: Bacterial small subunit ribosomal RNA
Source: RNAcentral